CAAGGUGUAGCGCAAUUUGGUAGCGCAUCUGCUUUGGGCGCAGAGGUUUGUUCAAAUCCCGUCACCUUGA
RNAcentral lists this transfer RNA (70 nucleotides) under Huperzia crispata. RNAcentral's name for it is "tRNA-Pro". It matches the Rfam family "tRNA". Rfam says of the family: Transfer RNA (tRNA) molecules are approximately 80 nucleotides in length. Their secondary structure includes four short double-helical elements and three loops (D, anti-codon, and T loops). The record is from RNAcentral. Lineage: Eukaryota; Viridiplantae; Streptophyta; Lycopodiopsida; Lycopodiales; Lycopodiaceae.